GAUGAAGAACGCAGCGAAAUGCGAUAAGUAAUGUGAAUUGCAGAAUUCAGUGAAUCAUCGAAUCUUUGAACGCACAUUGCGCCCGCCAGUAUUCUGGCGGGCAUGCCUGUUCGAGCGUCAUUUCCACCAUCAGGCCCCCGGGCCUGUGUUGGGGACCUGCGGCUGCCCGCAGGCCCCGAAAUUCAGUGGCGGUCGCGCCGUAGCAACCGAGCGUAGUAACUAAAACGUCUCGCUCUGGCUCGCUGGGCGCGCUCCGGCCGUAAAACACGCCCCCUUUUCGCAAAGGUUGACCUCGGAUCAGGUAGGAAUACCCGCUGAACUUAAGCAUAUCAAUAAGCGGAGGA
RNAcentral lists this unclassified non-coding RNA (344 nucleotides) under soil metagenome. Its description in RNAcentral is "partial contains 5.8S ribosomal RNA, internal transcribed spacer 2, and large subunit ribosomal RNA". The stretch from base 1 to 120 matches the Rfam family "5.8S ribosomal RNA", at positions 35 to 154 of the family's 154-position model. The record is from RNAcentral.